GAGGCAACUCUGACCCAGCAACGCCGCGUGAACGAAGAAGGCCUUCGGGUUGUAAAGUUCUUUAAUUGGGGACGAUGAAAGUGACGGUACCCAAAGAAUAAGCCAUGGCUAACUACGUGCCAGCAGCCGCGGUAAUACGUAGGUGGCAAGCGUUGUCCGGAAUGACUGGGCGUAAAGGGAGCGUAGGCGGCGCGACAAGUUAGGAGUGAAAUCCCGAGGCUUAACCUCGGAACUGCUUUUAAAACUGUCGUGCUUGAGUGAUGGAGAGGAAAGCGGAAUACCUAGUGUAGCGGUGGAAUGCGUAGAUAUUAGGAGGAACACCAGAGGCGAAGGCGGCUUUCUGGACAUUAACUGACGCUGAGACUCGAAAGCGUGGGGAGCAAACAGGAUUAGAUACCCUGGUAGUCCACGCUGUAAACGAUGGAUACUAGAUGCGGGAGGUAUCGACUCCUUCCGUGUCGUCGCGAACGCAAUAAGUAUCCCGCCUGGGGAGUACGGCCGCAAGGUGAAACUCAAAGGAAUUGACGGGGACCCGCACAAGCAGCGGAGCAUGUGGUUUAAUUCGACGCAACGCGAAAAACCUUACCAAGACUUGACAUCGUAUGACCGGUACAGAGAUGUACUUUUCUCUUCGGAGACAUACAGACAGGUGGUGCAUGGUUGUCGUCAGCUCGUGUCGUGAGAUGUUGGGUUAAGUCCCGCAACGAGCGCAACCCUUAUGAAUAGUUGCCAAUAUUAAGUUAGGAACUCUAUUCAGACUGCCGUGGACAACACGGAGGAAGGUGGGGAUGACGUCAAAUCAUCAUGCCCCUUACGUCUUGGGCUACACACGUGCUACAAUGGCUACUACAAAGAGCGGCGAGCCCGCGAGGGGGAGCGAAUCUCAAAAAAGUAGUCUCAGUUCGGACUGUGGGCUGCAACCCGCCCACACGAAGUCGGAGUUGCUAGUAAUCCCGAAUCAGCAUGUCGGGGUGAAUGCGUUCGCCGGGUCUUGCACACACCGCCCGUCA
RNAcentral lists this ribosomal RNA (1010 nucleotides) under uncultured bacterium. Its description in RNAcentral is "bacterial SSU rRNA". It matches the Rfam family "Bacterial small subunit ribosomal RNA", at positions 374 to 1399 of the family's 1533-position model. The record is from RNAcentral.